This is a long non-coding RNA of Humulus lupulus (European hop), 1116 nucleotides long. RefSeq lists it as uncharacterized. NCBI's taxonomy places the organism in Eukaryota, Viridiplantae, Streptophyta, Magnoliopsida, Rosales, Cannabaceae. The transcript is spliced from 2 exons. The record is from RefSeq and is a predicted model, not a curated record.
UGUUCUUGAAAAUAACAAGGUGGAAGUUGGAAGUCACAUUCCCACCAAAGGGAGUGAAUUUAUGUACCUGGUGAUGAACAUGUACAAGGGCAUGUACUCUGUCGAUUUGGUAAAUUGGGUCUGCUCUUGUAGAAGAUGGGAACUCACUAGUAUUCCAUGUAAUCUUGUUGUUGCUGCUAUUUAACAUAAAAGGGAGGAUCCAAUGACAUAUGUCUCCAAAUGGUAUACCAAGAAAUACUACAUGAAGGCAUACUCUCAGCAAAUUUUUCCAAUUAGGAAUCAAGAUGAGUAACCUAUAAGUGGCAAGGUUGGAAUGAUUAAGCCAAUUGGGAAGACUCAACCUGGGAGGCCUAAGAAAAGCAAAAGAGUUGAACCUAAUGAGUUGGCUUCACAUUGAAACAAAGAUAUAUGAGAAUGAGAUGUUCUGGCUGUGGUGCAGUGGGCCAUAACUUUAGAACUUGUGCUAGAAACAACUCUAAUUCGGUAAGUUACUAUAGUAUUCUUUGCAACUGGUUUGAAGCAUAAUGUUUACUUGUUUUUGGAUUGAUAAAAAAGAUUUAUUUUUGUAGUGAAAAGACAACCCCCCGGCUGAUCCUGGUACUUAUGCUAGAAAUAGCAGUCAGCCAGAAAAUGCUUCAGUGAGUUCAACAACAAAUCUGAGUGCUCUACAAGGAAUAAUGUCACCACCUCAGCAAGCUCCAUUCAACCCACCUCGGUAAGGUAGCAACACAGUUGCAAUAAGGACCAAACAUGGUUAGUCAAGGUGGUAUCUAGUUUUUUGAUUGGCAAGCAGUUUAUUGGAUAAGUUUGGAGCUCAAAGUCAAUUGUUAUGUCUACUUUUGUCUCUGUUUUCUGAUGCUCACUGAAUACCAUUUUCAUUGGAUUUGAGCAAGGUUGUAAAUAUGUUUUAGGAUCACUAAUGUAUUUGAGCAAGGUUGUAAAUCACUAAUGUAUUUGAGCAAUGUUGUAAAUCUGAUUUUGGAUCACGUUUUGUACACCACAUAUGAUGCAGUGUUAGUGUCAUUUCUACUUUUUGGUCACUACACUAUAAGCGAACCUAUCUUGUAAAUAGAUACUAGUUUACUGAAUGAAAAUGUUGGCUCACUUAUUACAUUA